This 460-nucleotide ribosomal RNA is filed under the name uncultured bacterium. RNAcentral's name for it is "partial 16S ribosomal RNA". It matches the Rfam family "Bacterial small subunit ribosomal RNA", at positions 338 to 795 of the family's 1533-position model. The record is from RNAcentral.
CCUACGGGAGGCAGCAGUGAGGAAUAUUGGUCAAUGGACGAGAGUCUGAACCAGCCAAGUAGCGUGAAGGAUGACUGCCCUAUGGGUUGUAAACUUCUUUUAUAUGGGAAUAAAAUGUUCCACGUGUGGGAUUUUGUAUGUACCAUAUGAAUAAGGAUCGGCUAACUCCGUGCCAGCAGCCGCGGUAAUACGGAGGAUCCGAGCGUUAUCCGGAUUUAUUGGGUUUAAAGGGAGCGUAGGUGGAUUGUUAAGUCAGUUGUGAAAGUUUGCGGCUCAACCGUAAAAUUGCAGUUGAAACUGGCAGUCUUGAGUACAGUAGAGGUGGGCGGAAUUCGUGGUGUAGCGGUGAAAUGCUUAGAUAGCACGAAGAACUCCGAUUGCGAAGGCAGUUCACUGGACUGCAACUGACACUGAGGCUCGAGAGUGUGGGUAUCAAACAGGAUUAGAUACCCCAGUAGUC